This 254-nucleotide ribosomal RNA is filed under the name uncultured bacterium. RNAcentral describes it as "partial 16S ribosomal RNA". It matches the Rfam family "Bacterial small subunit ribosomal RNA", at positions 524 to 776 of the family's 1533-position model. The record is from RNAcentral.
UACGUAGGCAGCAAGCGUUGUUCGGAGUUACUGGGCGUAAAGAGUAUGUAGGCGGUUGCGUAAGUUCGGUGUGAAAUCUCCCGGCUUAACUGGGAGGGUGCGCCGAAAACUGCGUGGCUUGAGUGCGGGGAGAGGAGAGCGGAAUUCCUGGUGUAGCGGUGAAAUGCGUAGAUAUCAGGAGGAACACCGGCGGUGUAGACGGCUCUCUGGACCGUAACUGACGCUGAGAUACGAAAAGCUGGGUAGCAAACAGG